RNAcentral lists this transfer RNA (66 nucleotides) under Hieraaetus morphnoides (little eagle). RNAcentral's name for it is "tRNA-Ser". The record is from RNAcentral. Lineage: Eukaryota; Metazoa; Chordata; Aves; Accipitriformes; Accipitridae.
GAGGGGAAGUUCAACUAGCAAGAACUGCUAAUUCCUGCAUCUGAGCCUAAACCCUCAGUCCCCUUA